CACGGCCACCGGAACCGUUGUACUGUUUUCCUAUCGCCCGCGUCGCUCGCUCUUGGCGCGUGUUUGAUUCGAAUUUAUGCGAGUUACAGGCGUUAGUAGAUCACAUUUAGUCUUUCCGUGAACCUGGCAGGUGCGGGACCUCUGCCCUCCAAAGCCAACCGGAGACUGACAACUGUCACGUUUCUUGCAAGCGUUUACCAUGAAUCGCACCGGUGUCGCCUCGGCGUUUAAUUGCCCUGUCUGCCUAGGGCCGAGCCAGAGCCUGGUAUUCGGCCUGUGCCAGCACUUCGUGUGCGCGUCCUGUCUGUACGAACCAGUCGACAAAAGUUUGAGGCCUGUGUUUUUUUUCUGUCCAAUCUGCAAAGAUGCGUUGGCAUUCCCAUUAUCCUGCCCCCGCUUUCUGGACACCACUAAAGAGAUGAUGAAGAUUGUUGGCGUCGUAAAGUGCCCCCGGAAACGGUGCGGCGAAGAAAUGUGGGCUUCGGACAAGAAAGAACACGAGAAGUCUUGCAUCGCGAAACGGUUGUCCGCGCGGGGCGGUGGCUCCCCAGCAAGUGCUAGCACUAGCCAGAGGCCCACCACCCGCCAGAGCAAGUAGACGAGGAGCAAGUGCUCUCUCAGGGUCAAGAACUGAACGUAGCAUCGGGCCUGCCUUACUUGAAAAUUUCUUUUUAGGUUCCUCUGCUGAAGUGUACCUGGAGAGGGAGCAAGAAGAGAAGGAGGUCUUCUUUGCAUUUAUAAAAUAAUUAAUCAGCCAGUAUUUUUUAUUUUAUAUGCGUAUGUACAAACAAUUUUUUAUUGUGGCAAUUAGCGUUUAUGCUAGACUGUCUUCUAUGUUUAGUUUCAUUUCGAGGCUAGUCUCUUUUGUGCUAGUCAAGUGCAUUACCAUUUUAAUGCACAAUGUGUGAAAUCUUGUUUGCGUUCUAAACGAUUGUGAUGUGUGAAAAAAAAAGUGUUAAACUGUGUGUUUUAUGCGUACAAAGUCGUACAACUGAUAUUGAUUGUAUCGCUAAGUUUUUGUAGGAAAAAAAAGGUAUGCUUCUGGCAUUUUACU
RNA transcript from Rhipicephalus microplus (southern cattle tick), 1054 nucleotides. RefSeq lists it as uncharacterized. The record is from RefSeq and is a predicted model, not a curated record. NCBI's taxonomy places the organism in Eukaryota, Metazoa, Arthropoda, Arachnida, Ixodida, Ixodidae.